CUUUAAGCCAAUUUGAACAAUGGGUUAAUGUGGAUAUGUAUCAGUCUUCAUUGGUUAUUGACAUGGCUUGUUUCUGCUGGUGCAAAAAGAAAAAACGUCAUAAAGCAAAUUCAGUUGAUGUAGAGCAGAAGACAAGAAAGAAGAAUGAGAGUGGCACUUCAUCCCCCUCUCCAAUUCCAUCUGACCGUUCUGAACGGAAUGCCUCCGUCACCUCUGACCCUUCACCCUCUGACCAACUCUCCUCCCUCCAUCCACCUUCCUCUCCUGUUAAAUGUUCCUCUCAGCCUUGCUCUCCUGCUAAACAGCCCUCUGUACCCCGGUCACCUGCCAAACACCCUUCCCCAGUGAAAUCCUCUCCAGUGGUGUCCCUCCCUAGUUCUCCCUCUCCUACCAACCCUCUGGACUGUCAUGGAGACACCAGCCAUGAGGGCACAACAGUCAGACCUCUGUCUCUUCUGGACCACUCUAGCCCAAGGCCCCAGAGGCCAGUCUCAGCCACCAGAAGCAUGAGUCUUCCCAGGGCCAGCUCAGCCACCAGAGGGUCAGAAGAGACCCAGGGGCCAGAGGAGAACGGGGGCACUGGUCAACAUGGAACUUCUUGGGUUGCCUAACAUUGGCAACACUUGCUUCCUUAACGCCAUCCUGCAGUGUCUCCUGGUCCUGCCUUCCUUCUUAAAGAAAAUCCUGCACCAGGAACAACUCUGGAGCUCCUCCCCUUCUCCAACCUGCUCAGGUGUCUGUCUGAUGUGUACCGUUCGAGUCUACCUGACAGUGGAGCAAACCAGGCCUCAAAAGCAGACCUCAUGUGGAAGGUCAAGUACUCCUUGUCGGGAUAUGAUUUGAAAUAUCUGGGGGACACGCAACAGGACGCACACGAGUUACUUGUGAACAUGCUGUGUCAGCUGAAGGAGGAGGGCAUGAUAUUGAAGACACUCGGGGUGAGCUAUACCUGCCCUGUUUCCCAGCUGGAGUUCCAGCUUGUGUCGGUGCGCACAUGUACCAGCUGUGGGCGCGAGUCGUCCACCUGAGAGGACUACAACCACCUCUCAUUGGACUUCAGCCCUGAGCGCACCUUGCAGAGUAGCCUAGCACUCACUUUCAAAGGUGAAAAGGUUGAAUUCAAAUGUGAGGGCUGUAAAGGACUCCACGCCACAAAGUUGGAGCUUUUCCACACACUGCCUCUUGUGCUGGUUCUGCAUCUGAAGAGGUUUGGAGGACCUGGGGGGUUGGAGAAGCUGGAGGCUCCUCUUUUGUUUCCUUCGGAGCUGAGGG
Non-coding RNA from Salmo salar (Atlantic salmon), 1272 nucleotides. The record is from RefSeq and is a predicted model, not a curated record. NCBI's taxonomy places the organism in Eukaryota, Metazoa, Chordata, Actinopteri, Salmoniformes, Salmonidae.